This is a long non-coding RNA of Danio aesculapii, 1244 nucleotides long. RefSeq lists it as uncharacterized. NCBI's taxonomy places the organism in Eukaryota, Metazoa, Chordata, Actinopteri, Cypriniformes, Danionidae. The transcript has 3 exons. The record is from RefSeq and is a predicted model, not a curated record.
UUCACGUUUAUUUUAAGAAAAUUCACUCAAUUAUGUGGAUUUGAUUGAGAUGUUUGCAUUUGAAUCUCAACAACGGCAGUGAUCAGACGACAUUUUGAAGGAGCAGAUCAACAGCGAGCAUGUUAAGAGGUAAGCAUUAACAGUUUAUCAUUUUAUUGUCUUAAGUAGCCUAAGCUCUUUCAGGAAAGACACAUGCUGUUCAAACUUGUUCAGGAGGUUAGUUUUUGCCAUAUGAUGUAUAUAGGGAUACACGGGUAUUUUUAACCCAUUCCUAUUUAAAAUUGAUUUGCUUCAAUAUUCAUUCUGAAUUAUAUAAUGAAAUUGAACAAAUUAUUUGCAUCGUAAUAUUUAACAGCAAUGAUCAGGCAACAGUUAAGCAGGGUGGACGAACAACAGUGAGCUUGUUAAGUGGUAAGUCUAAGCUAAGCUAAGUUAGCUAGCUAUUCAAUGGGGUUUAUGCACAGCUAGUGCUUUUCCAUUUCAUAAGGUUCCUUUUACAGCAUUGAUGAUGUAAUGUAAUGAACUGUGUUUAUAUAUAAUACUGUACAUAAAUACUAAUAUUUGUUUGCUUCAUUUUUCAGAUCAAAGAAAACGUUUGCAGUAUUUUCCCACUAAAGAGGAGCAGUUUAUUGAGGCAGAUUUUGAUAAAGAGAAUGGGUGCCAUACAUCAGACCUCACAUUAAAUCAGGGAUGAAUCGAGAGAUGUCGUCCUCUGUUGCUGGUCUAUCUGUAUAAAUAAGAUGAAGAGCUCAUCCAGGAGUGCAAUUGUGGGAAUGCACAGAGAAUUGUUGUCUGUCAGAGGGAUGACCAACCAUGAGGACUUCUGCAUUGUCUUGGAGGAUAAGCGAGUCAUGGCUAGCUUGGAAAAUCUAGAAUUGCUGAACUAGAUUUAUACAAAUAUUCUCCAAAUAAAAAUCACUUACAAAGAAACGAAUAUUAAAUUUGACACAAAUUCACUGCUAAAACCUUUUGGGGAAAAUUUCAGUGCAUUGACUGAUUGAUUGUGUUCCUAAUAUUUUGAGAUAUGGCUUUUAUACUGGUUUUAGAUGUUAUGCAAUACACUAAUUCUGUCAAAUUUUGUCUAAAAUGUGACUGUUCCUAUAAAAGAAACAUUUGACAGAACAUUUUAUUUUCCAUGACAUGGAUAAAGGAAUUUUUAUCAGAGAUUAACAUUGCUGUAAAUUUUAUAUAGAUUUGUUUAACAUAUUGCACCAUUUUGUUAUCAGUGUAACAUGUAAUAAAAU